GGGCCUACACAUGCAAGUCGAGCGGUAGCACAGAGAGCUUGCUCUCGGGUGACGAGCGGCGGACGGGUGAGUAAUGUCUGGGAAACUGCCUGAUGGAGGGGGAUAACUACUGGAAACGGUAGCUAAUACCGCAUAACGUCGCAAGACCAAAGUGGGGGACCUUCGGGCCUCAUGCCAUCAGAUGUGCCCAGAUGGGAUUAGCUAGUAGGUGGGGUAACGGCUCACCUAGGCGACGAUCCCUAGCUGGUCUGAGAGGAUGACCAGCCACACUGGAACUGAGACACGGUCCAGACUCCUACGGGAGGCAGCAGUGGGGAAUAUUGCACAAUGGGCGCAAGCCUGAUGCAGCCAUGCCGCGUGUGUGAAGAAGGCCUUCGGGUUGUAAAGCACUUUCAGCGGGGAGGAAGGCGAUAAGGUUAAUAACCUUGGCGAUUGACGUUACCCGCAGAAGAAGCACCGGCUAACUCCGUGCCAGCAGCCGCGGUAAUACGGAGGGUGCAAGCGUUAAUCGGAAUUACUGGGCGUAAAGCGCACGCAGGCGGUCUGUCAAGUCGGAUGUGAAAUCCCCGGGCUCAACCUGGGAACUGCAUUCGAAACUGGCAGGCUAGAGUCUUGUAGAGGGGGGUAGAAUUCCAGGUGUAGCGGUGAAAUGCGUAGAGAUCUGGAGGAAUACCGGUGGCGAAGGCGGCCCCCUGGACAAAGACUGACGCUCAGGUGCGAAAGCGUGGGGAGCAAACAGGAUUAGAUACCCUGGUAGUCCACGCCGUAAACGAUGUCGAUUUGGAGGUUGUGCCCUUGAGGCGUGGCUUCCGGAGCUAACGCGUUAAAUCGACCGCCUGGGGAGUACGGCCGCAAGGUUAAAACUCAAAUGAAUUGACGGGGGCCCGCACAAGCGGUGGAGCAUGUGGUUUAAUUCGAUGCAACGCGAAGAACCUUACCUGGUCUUGACAUCCACAGAACUUUCCAGAGAUGGAUUGGUGCCUUCGGGAACUGUGAGACAGGUGCUGCAUGGCUGUCGUCAGCUCGUGUUGUGAAAUGUUGGGUUAAGUCCCGCAACGAGCGCAACCCUUAUCCUUUGUUGCCAGCGGUUAGGCCGGGAACUCAAAGGAGACUGCCAGUGAUAAACUGGAGGAAGGUGGGGAUGACGUCAAGUCAUCAUGGCCCUUACGACCAGGGCUACACACGUGCUACAAUGGCAUAUACAAAGAGAAGCGACCUCGCGAGAGCAAGCGGACCUCAUAAAGUAUGUCGUAGUCCGGAUUGGAGUCUGCAACUCGACUCCAUGAAGUCGGAAUCGCUAGUAAUCGUAGAUCAGAAUGCUACGGUGAAUACGUUCCCGGGCCUUGUACACACCGCCCGUCACACCAUGGGAGUGGGUUGCAAAAGAAGUAGGUAGCUUAACCUCGGAGGACGCUACCAC
Molecule: ribosomal RNA, 1420 nt
Filed under: Klebsiella variicola subsp. variicola
Lineage: Bacteria; Pseudomonadati; Pseudomonadota; Gammaproteobacteria; Enterobacterales; Enterobacteriaceae
Description: bacterial SSU rRNA
Rfam family: Bacterial small subunit ribosomal RNA
Source: RNAcentral